AGUGAACGCUGGCGGUAGGCCUAACACAUGCAAGUCGAACGGCAGCACAGUAAGAGCUUGCUCUUACGGGUGGCGAGUGGCGGACGGGUGAGGAAUACAUCGGAAUCUACUUUUUCGUGGGGGAUAACGUAGGGAAACUUACGCUAAUACCGCAUACGACCUACGGGUGAAAGCAGGGGAUCUUCGGACCUUGCGCGAUUGAAUGAGCCGAUGUCGGAUUAGCCAGUUGGCGGGGUAAAGGCCCACCAAGGCGACGAUCCGUAGCUGGUCUGAGAGGAUGAUCAGCCACACUGGGACUGAGACACGGUCCAGACUCCUACGGGAGGCAGCAGUGGGGAAUAUUGGACAAUGGGCGCAAGCCUGAUCCAGCCAUACCGCGUGGGUGAAGAAGGCCUUCGGGUUGUAAAGCCCUUUUGUUGGGAAAGAAAAGCAGCAGGUUAAUACCCCGCUGUUCUGACGGUACCCAAAGAAUAAGCACCGGCUAACUUCGUG
This 492-nucleotide ribosomal RNA is filed under the name uncultured bacterium. RNAcentral's name for it is "partial 16S ribosomal RNA". It matches the Rfam family "Bacterial small subunit ribosomal RNA", at positions 29 to 507 of the family's 1533-position model. The record is from RNAcentral.